CCCGCGGAGGCCGGGUGCAGCCCCGUCGGCUCCGCGCUCCCGGCACGGAAGGGUUUUCUGCGCCCCACGCCCAUCACUGGGAUCUUGCCUGGGAGGGUGGGAGCUUUUUUCUGGAAGUCCCCCCCACCCCGCCACCUCCGCGGUGAAGGAUUUGAGGCUGGGCUCCAAUCGAGGCGGAGGCUGCAGGGCCUGCGGGCGCCCCCCGCCCCGCGCACGCCUCCCCGGAGCCCUGAAAGGCGCAGCCCCGGGGACCCUGCACCCCCGGAGGAGGCAGCGGCGGAUGAAAGGCAGCAGUCACAGUAGGCUGAGAACAUCAGUAUUACUGCUGAGUCCAUCUUCCUGCUAAGCACCUUACAAGCCUCACCUCACUUAAUAGCCACAGCCAACCCUCAGGCGGGCCUCAACGUGUCCUGUUCCAAUGAGGAAGUGGAGACUUAUGCCGGUGAAGACAUACGACCAGGGGUACCCAGCUGGAAAGGGGUUUGAGCCCAGGUGCAGGGCUGGCUUCACUGUCUUGGGUCCUGCACUUGGUUUAAUGUUCUGUUGUCAUCUGGAAAUUCUUAGUACUUCUGGAAGAAGGGGGCCCCGCCCCAGGUUUUCAUUUUGCCAAUCAUGGAGCCGGUCCUGCCCACAUCUGACUUCCCCCAGAGCUGUCACUCUUAUCUCCUAACUUCCAGAUGUCAUAUAGCCAGGUCCAGGGUAGUUUCUCAGUUCAUCCUUACAAUGUUUAGUGUGGGACUGAAAUCCUGAGGAGAGUAUGAAGACUUAACUACCAGGCAGAAUGGCCCAAAUGCCUACUCAUUUGUCUGGUCCCCCUGUGAGAAGGCAGGGACCAUGUAUCACUCACUGCUGUACUCCCAGAGCCUAGUGUGUAUUAGCUGCUCAGUUAAUAGUUGUGAAAUGAGGCCAGUGAAUAGGAGGCUGUUAUGUCUCUGGAACCAGACCUAUUUCAGUGACAACUUCCAGGAAAGCAGGUCGUCCAUGCGGUGGUGUCAGCCCAGCAGGCUUCUGGAGAGCCCCUUCAGGGGGUGGAGAUGCAGGUCCCUUUCCUCCCACUGCCCCAAAUCUGCGUGCCAACACCCUGUAGCAGAUUACUGUUUAAGCGGUUCUGGUGAGCUCAGGGACAAGUAUUUAAAGCCAUGCGGACCUGGGUUCCAGGGCGCCUCCUACUGGGGAAGAUGCAGGGGUCAGCCAAGAGGAUCCUGGGGUUAGUUAGCUCUGGGGGGCUCAGGUCCCAGGCAGUGUCAGGGAGCAGUUUCCUGGACUGUUAGAGGAGAAGGCUUGGAUUUUUGGAUUUUGUAUUUUUUUCCCUCUGAAAUUAUAGUUCUUUUACUGUCUCAAAGCUCCAAGUUAUAAAUAUUACUAAGAAGCAAAGAAUCUUUCAAAAGCCAUUGAGAUAUUUGUAACAAUACAAGUGUAUACGUUUGUACACUUUUUGCCAACUGUUUUCACCACAUUAUCUCCAUUGCUUCAGAAAAUCCUGUGAAGUGGGAAUUCUCCUCAUUUUCUAAAUAACUACCAACACACACUGAAUGCUUUAUAUGUACUAAGCACUUUACACAUAUGAAGUCAUUUUAGUUGCCCAGCAACAUGUGAGGGAAGAACUGUUAUCUCUGUUUUACGGAUGAGGAAAUAGGCUUAGAGAAUGGAAUUGACAUGUCCAAGGUCACACACCCAGCAUGUCUUGAGCUGGGGUUCAAGCCCUGACUCUUCCUUCUCAGGGACCAGCACACUUUCCUUCUAUAGGGCCAGAUACUGAAUAUUUCAGGCUUUGCAGGUCACAUGGUCUCUGUUGCAGCUCUCCUACUCAUCAUAACAAGAAACCAGCCCUAGACAACUUGGAAACGAACAGAAGUGUCUGUAUGCACAAAAUUAGGAUGUGGGCUGAAUUUGGCCCAUAGGCUAUAGCUUGCCCACCCCUGUUCCAGACCCAGAAACCUACCUUCCAGUUAGGAAGAACUUGGUCAUGACAAUGCUCUUCUCCACCUCUCUCCCUACCUAAACAAAGUUACUUUUUAGACCAGAGCUCACUGGCUCUGGAGAUACUGAAUUAACCCCUCUCUCCUUGAGGGAAUUCUGAAUCCCUUGGAGUUUACAACUAUUAGGAAUUGUCAGUGACUGCCAGAACAGAGCACAGUGGGGAUUUUAAAAUUCGUGAGCAAGUGCAGGGAGAAAGUGGAGGAGACGAGUGGGGAUGGCUUUUUUUUUUUAGCAGCUUCAUUGAGAUAUUCUCUUAUCAUACAAUUCACCCAUUUAAAGUAUGCUAUAUUCAGAGUUCUGCAUCCGCCAUCACAAUUAUAGAACAUUUCCAUAGCCUCAAAAAGAAAUGCCCUUUUCUAACAAUCAGUGGCCAGCUCUCCCCACCCCAAUCCUAACGUUAAUCUAUUUUCUCCAUAGAGUUAUCUGUUCUGGACAUUUCAUGUAAAUGGAAUAACAUGGUAUGUGAGCCUUUGUGAAUUGCUCCUCUCACUCAGCAUUAUGUUCUCAAGGUUCAUCCAUGCUGUAGGCCUCUCCGAACUUCAUUCCUUUCUAUGGCUGAAUAACAUCCACAAUUUAUUUACCCGUUCAUCAUCACUUGAUGGACAUUUGGGUGGUGUAUACUUUUUGAUCAUUAUGAAAAUAAUUCACCUGUCAACAUUCACGUGUAAGUUUUUAUGGAGAUCUGUGUUUUCAUCUUUCUUGGGUAUAUACCUAGAAAUGGACUCCUGGGUCAUAUGCCACACCACGUUUAACACGGAGAAAUCACCAGAGGCACAUCUUAUAUAUUGCCUUUUUCACCUUUGUAUUAUGAAAAUUUCCCACCAUACUGAAAGUAGAGAAAGUUCUGUAACAAGCAGCCCAUAUGCAUCAUCCAGGCUAAACAAUUACCAACCUUUGCCAGUCUUAAUUCAUCCUGCUUUCCCUCCUCCUCCACUUUUUUCCCUCCAAGUGUGUUUCCCACUGAGCGGUUUGAGCCUAUUCAAACACUGCCCUUUAUAUUGUUAACUGGGCCAAGAGGUCAACAUUUUCUUUUGUCCCAAACCCUCAAAGUCUCCUACAUCCACAUCUGUGUGUGGAUGGAAUUUGGUGAGAAUGAAGGAAUUGAUUGGGACAGAGGCUAACAUGGGUCAGUGUGAGGUGGGAAAGGAACAGCUCCUGAGUGAAGCAGGACUGGCUACAUAAUUUGCAAGGUGAAAAUGUGCCCUUUGUCCAAAAAUUACUAAGAAGUUCAAGACAACAGCAGAGCAUUAAACCAAGCAUAGGCCCUGUGCAGCUCACAGGUCACAUGACCAAGUGACCAGCAAAAGGGCACCCAAGCAGAACUAAUUCGUGGGACAUAAGAAUUUAGAGCCUUGGUGCCUAGGAGAGGCAUAAGCACCCUUCACCCAACCCCUGGAAGGUUCCAAGCACAGUUGGGUCUCCCUCCUGGGAGACAGCGGCAUGUGGGGCAGGGUUCAAGCCCAUUAUAUGUGAAUCUUCAAAAACAAGCUGACCUCAGCUGACAUGUGAAUUAAAAGUACUUUUUGAAAAAUGACCAUUUGUCUUAAGCCUUCCUCCCUCAGAACCUGCAGCUGCAUUCUUCCAUCACACCAUUUUGUCUUGGACUGCCAGCGUACUCUGCUUUCACAGCAAAUGACAGAGCUGCGGUCUUCAGAGCAGAGGCCCACUGGGUGGCAAACCACCCAGGACAGUGGCGGGACCAGGGGUGCCCAUUAGAGGCAGGUGGUCAUGGCCGACACCGGCAACCAGUCACGGCGCCCAACCGCUCCCAGCUCAGAGUUCCACUGUCCUUCUCAAGGAUAAUCGCCACUAAGUGAACCCUAUUUCCUGUGCUUAUUUAGCCGCUCAACCCAAGAAUUCAUCGUCUUUAGACACCCAGAGAUGCAGAGCUCCCAACGAGGUGCUUACAGCACCGGAAUCUUCAGGAAGGGUGGGCAGCAGGGUGGCAGGGCGGGACAGGAGGGACAAGGGAGACUCGUCAAGGUGGGAACAGGUAAGGACCUUGGGCUCCUCCUGUUCUCUGUGGGAUGUUCAGGGAGUGAAGAAACGUCAUUCAUUCAAUUAUCUGAGCACCUGCCGUGUAUAAGGCGCUGCCUACUGGGCGUAAGCAACAUGGUAAUUAAGACCCGGCAGUUCCUACCCCUUGGGGCAAGAGAGGCAAUCAUAAACCAAAGAUUUAAAAAACCUCUAAUGUGAUAAAAAUAACAAAUGACAAUAGCAAAACAACAGGUCUGAGUAAAUCUUGCUGGCAGCUUCUGGGCUGGUAGACCACAAAGUGGAUCUUAGAGCAAAGUCCAACUCAGGAUAGAGGCAAGUCUCAGCAGAAUGGAUGUAGAUGCGGCACAGCCAAGAGAAGUCUCCAGAGGCGGUAGGUAGCUGGGUUCUAGCUGCUUUUUUUUCUUCUCGAACUUUCUCCCCCACUUCCCGCAACAGACCUGACACCCAGCGUGAAGAUGGACAAUGAUCGCUGCUCACAACACCCGUCCCUCAGCUGAUGAGGCCAGGCAUCGGCACAUGACCAAGGCUGACCCACCACAGUAACCCACUUCUGCACUGGGCCACAGUGAUUGGUUCAGGAGGGGUCAUGUGGCCCAACCAGGCCCAAUCCAGGAUUGUCCUAACUGGAGCUGGUGGGAAGGUUUCUUCUCCCCUCUUCUCCAGCGUCCAGAGCCAGCUGUGGCUCCAGAGAGUGAGAUCUCUAAGCAGAGGGAGGGAGACACCAGGGACCGGGUAGGGUAGGGAACAGGAGAGAGACCCACCAGGCAGUCAGACCCCAGAGCCUUACAGGCCCCAGAUUCAAGCGCAGCUCGGCCUUUCCCUUUCCGGUCUCAGCCACCCGAGUAAUGAGGCCCCCCAUACCAACCCUUUUAUGUUAAUCGGAUCAACUCAGGUUCCUGUGCAGCCCAGAGCCUCCCAAAUCAGGAUUUUGCUGUUAUAACGUAUAUACAUUUUGGCAUGUAUCCAAGUACGUUCAUAGGAUACCUUCCUAGAAGUGGAGUUUCUUGGGCAGAGGAUAUAUGCCUUUUUAAUUUCUGUAGCUAUUUCCCAGUGCAGAAAGUAUCAUCCAUUCAUGCCCAUCGACAACGCACGUGUGAGGGUGCCUAUUUCCAGCACCCUCACACACCCUUGCAAGAAUGCAGUGUGUCGGGGAAGCAGAUCCCAAAUGAGGUAAGGGGACUUUCCAUGUGCAUCUGGGUUGGGGUGGACAUGGCCUCUGAGGUUGUCCCUUGUCACUUUGGGAAGCAAUAUGCCAUUCAGAGGCCUGGUUGGUUUGGGUUUUAUAAACAAAGACAGUUUGGGGAGGGGAGCCAGAACCCUGUCGUGAGAAGCGUUGUACGACUCAGUAUUUAUUUCUUUGGUUCGGUUAGAACUUAAAUAUGGUCAAAACAUAUUCUUCUUUUAAUUUACACAAACAAAUAUGUUCCCAGGCUGACACCUCCAGUGCCAAGUUUCUAGGGGAAAUGAAAUUCUACAGUGAGAUCAUAAACCAGUAGGGAGACGAUGAGAAUGGAAAAGCCUCUACAAGUUAGCUUUCCACAUCCAGAACUGGCUGCUGAGAGGUGUCUCUUUCUGUUUUAGUUGCAGAUAAACCUGCCAAUAAUUUUAGCAAAUGAAAUGUGGAACGCAUAAAGGCCAGAGGAUGGAAAAACGCUCCAGUUUUGAUGAAAGAAGGUCUGCUCAGCUUGGAAUCCUUCCUCCUGCUAGCCAGGAGAUGCAAAGAUAUAUCCAGAGAGGGGCUGAUGAAUUGAGGGAAAAGAAACGAGGCCAAUGUGAGUCGCCUUUCAAGAGCUGUGCUAAUAUAAAACCAAACGACUUGAAAUUGUUCCAAGAGGGGAUUAAAGCAACAUGUUAUUUUGA
Molecule: long non-coding RNA, 5838 nt
Organism: Manis javanica (Malayan pangolin)
Lineage: Eukaryota; Metazoa; Chordata; Mammalia; Pholidota; Manidae
Source: RefSeq, a predicted model, not a curated record